ACCCAGCUGACGAGUCCCAAAUAGGACGAAACAAGAGUGCUGAAU
This 45-nucleotide non-coding RNA is filed under the name Schistosoma haematobium. Lineage: Eukaryota; Metazoa; Platyhelminthes; Trematoda; Strigeidida; Schistosomatidae. The record is from RNAcentral.